RNAcentral lists this ribosomal RNA (468 nucleotides) under uncultured bacterium. RNAcentral describes it as "partial 16S ribosomal RNA". It matches the Rfam family "Bacterial small subunit ribosomal RNA", at positions 28 to 507 of the family's 1533-position model. The record is from RNAcentral.
GACGAACGCUGGCGGCGUGCUUAACACAUGCAAGUCGAACGGAAAGGCCCUGCUUUUGUGGGGUACUCGAGUGGCGAACGGGUGAGUAACACGUGAGUAACCUGCCCUUGACUUUGGGAUAACUUCAGGAAACUGGGGCUAAUACCGGAUAGGAGCUCCUGCUGCAUGGUGGGGGUUGGAAAGUUUCGGCGGUUGGGGAUGGACUCGCGGCUUAUCAGCUUGUUGGUGGGGUAGUGGCUUACCAAGGCUUUGACGGGUAGCCGGCCUGAGAGGGUGACCGGCCACAUUGGGACUGAGAUACGGCCCAGACUCCUACGGGAGGCAGCAGUGGGGAAUAUUGCACAGUGGGCGGAAGCCUGAUGCAGCAACGCCGCGUGCGGGAUGACGGCCUUCGGGUUGUAAACCGCUUUCGCCUGUGACGAAGCGUGAGUGACGGUAAUGGGUAAAGAAGCACCGGCUAACUACGUG